UUGACACGCUCGUACGGAAAAAUCGAGUGUUAGCCAGGAAAACGAGUGGGUGGUUCGCUGGGUAGUUUUCAUGCUCGGUGAGUUCUCGAAAUCGAUUGUGUUGUUGUUUUGGAGGAAGAGUCGAGUGGAAGUUAACAUCAACGUCGGAAUUGUUGCGUCAAAGAAGGAAAACCGUCAAAACGAAGGGAUUGCGUCAUCGGCGUCGGCAGCGGCAGCGGCACAUCAGAUUAGGGUUUUCGUGAGGGUUCAAGCGAAGAAGACGCAAAGUCGGGUCGGGUUUCAGCCUCUGAACCGGCCCACGAAACGAACGCGGGCCCUGUGCGUUUCGGCCCAACAUGGACGGGCGCUGCAGCCUUGGUCUCGACUCGGCUUGACGUGUACAGCAGCUCAGCUCCAUCAAUACCCGCGGCUCGGCUCCGUCAAAUCCGGCAGCUCAGCUUGGCGGCUUAGUUGGUCGGCUCGGAAGCUCGGCUUGGUGACUCGGUAUCACUAUAAUAUAUCGAUUUCUAAGUUUUCGACCCUUCCAAAGCCUGCCCUUAGUUUUACCAUCCAUCCGAGGACGUAUUUAACCGCUGGGAUUAGCUCGUUGUGAGUGACUUCAACCAAGACCAUCGAAGUAAAGGCAAGACGCCAAUGUACGGUUGACGGCGGAGCUGAGGACACCAUGGAAGUUGGAGAUGGGAUAUUUGUAGGAGUUUACGUUUAUUGGACUGUUUUAAGUUAUAGUAUUAAGUAUUGCUUUAUUUAGAUUUAUUUUUUUUGAAUUCGGUU
This is a long non-coding RNA of Cucurbita maxima (winter squash), 771 nucleotides long. RefSeq lists it as uncharacterized. The record is from RefSeq and is a predicted model, not a curated record. The transcript is spliced from 3 exons. Lineage: Eukaryota; Viridiplantae; Streptophyta; Magnoliopsida; Cucurbitales; Cucurbitaceae.